This 283-nucleotide long non-coding RNA is filed under the name Micromonas commoda. RNAcentral's name for it is "long non-coding RNA (MCOM_LNC000250)". Lineage: Eukaryota; Viridiplantae; Chlorophyta; Mamiellophyceae; Mamiellales; Mamiellaceae. The record is from RNAcentral.
ACCUCGGGCGCCGCGAGGUGGGUCGUGAGGUCGUUGCCGAAGCUGGACCGAUCGCGCCAGACCAGGUUCUGGGUGUGCGACGUGGCGUUCAUGUCGUCAGCGACGAGAUGGAGCCUGAGCAACGGUGGGGGAGGCGCCGGCGGUGGCGGUGGGGAAGGUGGGGAAGGUGGCGGCGGUGGGGAAGGUGGCGGUGGGAUGACGCACGCCGCCGUGUCAACCGUGGUGCCGUCAACGCAUGAACGCUCACCCACGAGAAAAUAACCGGUGUCGCACGUCGGUGUGC